This 537-nucleotide long non-coding RNA is filed under the name Citrus sinensis (sweet orange). RNAcentral's name for it is "long non-coding RNA (CSIN_LNC004507)". The record is from RNAcentral. Lineage: Eukaryota; Viridiplantae; Streptophyta; Magnoliopsida; Sapindales; Rutaceae.
GAAAAAUGAUAAGCAAAAUAGAUUACCAAAUGACAGAAAUAUAUAAUUGAUUAAUAACUUAUCUUAAACACUUUAAGACAACAACAAUUACAAUGUUAAGAAACCAAAUCAGCAACAAUUACAAACAUCCAUUACAUAAAAGAAAAUUGAACAGUUUCAAUGCCUGUAACUCCUCUUACUCAUGCCCACACGAAGAUUCAAUUACAAACAGCCAUUCGUACACCAUUUUCAUAGUCGUCAGCCGCACAAGAAGAUUGAAUUAAUCACGAUCAUUUGGAAUCGUAUUUAUAACCUUACUUUGUGUGGCUGAUGAUGGCGAACGAAGCCAGAAGUGACAGUUGCGGCAGCAUGGGCGUGGGUGUUUGUUAUUGGCGGAUGUGGCUGUAGCAGAGGCGUGGGUGUAUGUGAGUGAAGGUGUUGUUCUCUCUAUUUCGCGAUGGAGAAGAAGAAGUCAAGAAUGAAAGAAAGAAUUAGGGACUGCAUCUUUUAUUUUUUUAUUAAAGGCUAAGCAAAUCGAUUUUUGAAUUUGGCUUAGGU